RNAcentral lists this ribosomal RNA (333 nucleotides) under uncultured Anaerolineaceae bacterium. RNAcentral describes it as "bacterial SSU rRNA". It matches the Rfam family "Bacterial small subunit ribosomal RNA", at positions 1034 to 1382 of the family's 1533-position model. The record is from RNAcentral. Lineage: Bacteria; Bacillati; Chloroflexota; Anaerolineae; Anaerolineales; Anaerolineaceae.
ACAGGUGUUGCAUGGCUGUCGUCAGCUCGUGUCGUGAGAUGUUCGGUUAAGUCCGCUAACGAGCGCAACCCUCGUCGUAUGUUAUAUGUGUCAUACGAGACUGCCGGUAAAAGCCGGAGGAAGGUGAGGAUGAUGUCAAGUCAGCAUGACCUUUAUAUCCAGGGCUACACACACGCUACAAUGGUCUGUACAAUGGGUAGCCAAGCCGCGAGGCGGAGCCAAUCCUGAAAGCAGGCCUCAGUUCAGAUCGCAGGCUGCAACCCGCCUGCGUGAAGCCGGAGUUGCUAGUAACCGCAGGUCAGCUAUACUGCGGUGAAUACGUUCCCGGGUCUU